AUUCGCCCUUAGAGUUUGAUCCUGGCUCAGGAUGAACGCUGGCGGCGUGCUUAACACAUGCAAGUCGAACGGAGUACCCCUGAAGGAGUUUUCGGACAACUGAUGGGACUACUUAGUGGCGGACGGGUGAGUAACGCGUGAGUAACCUGCCUUGGAGUGGGGAAUAACAGCUGGAAACAGCUGCUAAUACCGCAUAAUAUGUCUGUGUCGCAUGGCACUGGACAUCAAAGAUUUAUCGCUCUGAGAUGGACUCGCGUCUGAUUAGCUAGUUGGCGGGGUAACGGCCCACCAAGGCGACGAUCUGUAGCCGGACUGAGAGGUUGGCCGGCCACAUUGGGACUGAGACACGGCCCAGACUCCUACGGGAGGCAGCAGUGGGGAAUAUUGGGCAAUGGGCGCAAGCCUGACCCAGCAACGCCGCGUGAAGGAAGAAGGCUUUCGGGUUGUAAACUUCUUUUCUCAGGGACGAAGCAAGUGACGGUACCUGAGGAAUAAGCCACGGCUAACUACGUGCCAGCAGCCGCGGUAAUACGUAGGGGGCAAGCGUUAUCCGGAUUUACUGGGUGUAAAGGGGGCGCAGACGGCAGCGCAAGCCAGGAGUGAAAGCCCGGGGCCCAACCCCGGGACUGCUCUUGGAACUGCGCGGCUGGAGUGCAGGAGGGGCAGGCGGAAUUCCUGGUGUAGCGGUGAAAUGCGUAGAUAUCAGGAGGAACACCGGUGGCGAAGGCGGCCUGCUGGACUGCGACUGACGUUGAGGCCCGAAAGCGUGGGG
Molecule: ribosomal RNA, 772 nt
Filed under: uncultured bacterium
Lineage: Bacteria
Description: bacterial SSU rRNA
Rfam family: Bacterial small subunit ribosomal RNA
Source: RNAcentral